Molecule: ribosomal RNA, 1486 nt
Filed under: uncultured prokaryote
Description: partial 16S ribosomal RNA
Rfam family: Bacterial small subunit ribosomal RNA
Source: RNAcentral
UGGCUCAGAAUGAACGCUGGCGGCGUGCUUAACACAUGCAAGUCGAACGAGAAAGCGAAUUUCGGUUCGUGAGUAGAGGUGGCGCACGGGUGAGUAACACGUAGAUAAUCUACCUUCAAGCCUGGAAUAACUAUUCGAAAGGGUAGCUAAUACCAGAUAAAGUUUUAUCACAUAAGUGAUAUUAUGAAAGAUUGCCUCUUCUUGAAAGCAAUCGUUUGGAGAUGAGUCUGCGGACCAUUAGCUUGUUGGUGGGGUAAAGGCCUACCAAGGCUGCGAUGGUUAGCUGGUCUGAGAGGAUGAUCAGCCACACUGGAACUGACACACGGUCCAGACUCCUACGGGAGGCAGCAGUGAGGAAUUUUGCGCAAUGGGGGAAACCCUGACGCAGCAACGCCGCGUGAGUGAAGAAGGCCCUUGGGUCGUAAAGCUCUGUCGACAGGGAAGAAAUUAACAUCAUCCAAUAGGUGUUGUUAUUGACGGUACCUGUAGAGGAAGCACCGGCUAACUCCGUGCCAGCAGCCGCGGUAACACGGGGGGUGCAAGCGUUAUUCGGAAUUAUUGGGCGUAAAGGGCGCGUAGGCGGUCUUGUCGGUCAGAUGUGAAAGCCCGGGGCUCAACCCUGGAAGUGCAUUUGAAACAGCAAGACUUGAGUACUGGAGAGGAGAGCGGAAUUCCUGGUGUAGAGGUGAAAUUCGUAGAUAUCAGGAGGAACACCGAUGGCGAAGGCAGCUCUCUGGACAGAUACUGACGCUGAGGCGCGAAGGCGUGGGUAGCGAACAGGAUUAGAUACCCUGGUAGUCCACGCAGUAAACGUUGUCAACUAGGUGUAGGAGGUAUCGACCCCUGUUCUGCCUAAGCUAACGCAUUAAGUGAACCGCCUGGGGAGUACGGUCGCAAGACUAAAACUCAAAGGAAUUGACGGGGGCCCGCACAAGCGGUGGAGCAUGUGGUUUAAUUCGACGCAACGCGAAGAACCUUACCUGGGUUUGACAUCCUGUGAAUUUGUAAGAGAUUUUAGUGCCCUUCGGGGAACCCAGUGACAGGUGCUGCAUGGCUGUCGUCAGCUCGUGUCGUGAGAUGCUUGGUUAAGUCCAGCAACGAGCGCAACCCUUACCGUUCGUUACGAUCAUUUAGUUCGGGAACUCUAGAGAGACUGCCGGUGAUAAACCGGAGGAAGGUGGGGAUGACGUCAAGUCCUCAUGGCCCUUAUGUCCAGGGCUACACACGUGCUACAAUGGUAUGUACAGAGGGUCGCAAGCUCGCGAGGGUUAGCUAAUCCCUUAAAGCAUAUCUCAGUUCGGAUAGGAGUCUGCAACUCGACUCCUUGAAGUUGGAAUCGCUAGUAAUCGCGGAUCAGCAUGCCGCGGUGAAUACGUUCCCGGGCCUUGUACACACCGCCCGUCACACCACGAGAGUUGAUUGUACCAGAAGUCGUUGGGCUAACCCCUCGGGGAGGCAGGCGCCUAAGGUAAGGUUGAUAAUUGGG